Molecule: ribosomal RNA, 253 nt
Filed under: uncultured bacterium
Lineage: Bacteria
Description: partial 16S ribosomal RNA
Rfam family: Bacterial small subunit ribosomal RNA
Source: RNAcentral
GACAGAGGUGCCGAGCGUUAGGCGGAAUCACUGGGCUUAAAGCGUGUGUAGGCGGAUCGUUAAGUACCUUGUGAAAUCCCACGGCUUAACCGUGGGACUGCUGGGUAUACUGGCGAUCUUGAGGUGCUCAGGGGCGAGCGGAACAGAUGGUGGAGCGGUGAAAUGCGUAGAUAUCAUCUGGAACGCCUGCGGUGAAAACGGCUCGCUGGGAGCAAUCUGACGCUGAGACACGAAAGCCAGGGGAGCGAACGGG